Molecule: ribosomal RNA, 655 nt
Filed under: Methanosarcina sp. enrichment culture clone B12
Lineage: Archaea; Methanobacteriati; Methanobacteriota; Methanomicrobia; Methanosarcinales; Methanosarcinaceae
Description: bacterial SSU rRNA
Rfam family: Archaeal small subunit ribosomal RNA
Source: RNAcentral
AUAUGUUCUUCGUGAACAUGGCGUACUGCUCAGUAACACGUGGAUAACCUGCCCUUGGGUCCGGCAUAACCCCGGGAAACUGGGGAUAAUUCCGGAUAACGCACAUAUGCUGGAAUGCUUUAUGCGUCAAAUGGAUUCGUCUGCCCAAGGAUGGGUCUGCGGCCUAUCAGGUAGUAGUGGGUGUAAUGUACCUACUAGCCGACGACGGGUACGGGUUGUGAGAGCAAGAGCCCGGAGAUGGAUUCUGAGACAUGAAUCCAGGCCCUACGGGGCGCAGCAGGCGCGAAAACUUUACAAUGCGGGAAACCGUGAUAAGGGGACACCGAGUGCCAGCAUCAUAUGCUGGCUGUCCGGGUGUGUAAAAUACACCUGUUAGCAAGGGCCGGGCAAGACCGGUGCCAGCCGCCGCGGUAACACCGGCGGCCCGAGUGGUGAUCGUGAUUAUUGGGUCUAAAGGGUCCGUAGCCGGUUUGGUCAGUCCUCCGGGAAAUCUGACGGCUUAACCGUUAGGCUUUCGGAGGAUACUGCCAGGCUUGGAACCGGGAGAGGUAAGAGGUACUACAGGGGUAGGAGUGAAAUCUUGUAAUCCCUGUGGGACCACCUGUGGCGAAGGCGUCUUACCAGAACGGGUUCGACGGUGAGGGACGAAAGCUGG